GAUUAGUGGCGAACGGGUGAGUAACACGUGGGCAAUCUGCCCUGCACUCUGGGACAAGCCCUGGAAACGGGGUCUAAUACCGGAUACUGAUCCUCGCAGGCAUCUGCGAGGUUCGAAAGCUCCGGCGGUGCAGGAUGAGCCCGCGGCCUAUCAGCUAGUUGGUGAGGUAACGGCUCACCAAGGCGACGACGGGUAGCCGGCCUGAGAGGGCGACCGGCCACACUGGGACUGAGACACGGCCCAGACUCCUACGGGAGGCAGCAGUGGGGAAUAUUGCACAAUGGGCGAAAGCCUGAUGCAGCGACGCCGCGUGAGGGAUGACGGCCUUCGGGUUGUAAACCUCUUUCAGCA
Molecule: ribosomal RNA, 351 nt
Filed under: Streptomyces sp.
Lineage: Bacteria; Bacillati; Actinomycetota; Actinomycetes; Kitasatosporales; Streptomycetaceae
Description: bacterial SSU rRNA
Rfam family: Bacterial small subunit ribosomal RNA
Source: RNAcentral